CUCAGAAUCACGCUGGCGGNGUUGCCUCAGACAUGCAAGUCGAACGUGAAAGUUCCUUCGGGAAUGAGUAAAGUGGCGCACGGGUGAGUAACACGUAGGUAAUUUGCCUUUGGGUGGGGAAUACCAACCGGAAACGGUUGUUAAUACCGCAUAAUGCAGCGGCAUCAUAAGAUGACAGUUGUUAAAGUAGGGGAACUCGCAAGAGUCCUUACGCCUAAAGAGGAGCCUGCGGCAGAUUAGGUAGUUGGUGAGGUAAUGGCUCACCAAGCCUGCGAUCUGUAACCGGCCUGAGAGGGCGGUCGGUCACACUGACACUGACAUACGGGUCAGACUCCUACGGGAGGCAGCAGUCGGGAAUUUUGGGCAAUGGGCGAAAGCCUGACCCAGCAACGCCGCGUGAAGGAUGAAGCAUUUCGGUGUGUAAACUUCGCAAGAAUAGGAAGAAUAAGUUUGAAUGAAUAAUUCAAACGAUGACGGUACUAUUUGUAAGCUCCGGCUAACUCCGUGCCAGCAGCCGCGGUAAUACGGGGGGAGCAAGCGUUGUUCGGAUUUACUGGGCGUAAAGGGUGCGUAGGCGGCACCACAAGUCACUUGUGAAAUCUUUGGGCUUAACCCAAAGCCUGCAAGUGAUACUGUGGAGCUAGAGUGCAGAAGGGGCAACUGGAAUUCUCG
RNAcentral lists this ribosomal RNA (672 nucleotides) under uncultured bacterium. RNAcentral describes it as "bacterial SSU rRNA". It matches the Rfam family "Bacterial small subunit ribosomal RNA", at positions 23 to 672 of the family's 1533-position model. The record is from RNAcentral.